AACGAACGCUGGCGGCAUGCCUAACACAUGCAAGUCGAACGCGUGUAGCAAUACACGAGUGGCGGAUGGGUGAGUAACGCGUGGGAACCUGCCCAAUGGUAGGGAAUAACUGCGGGAAACUGCAGCUAAUACCCUAUGCUCCCUACGGGGAAAGAUUAUCGCCAUUGGAGGGGCCCGCGUCGGAUUAGCUAGUUGGCGGGGUAACGGGCCCACCAAGGCUACGAUCCGUAGCNGGUCUGAGAGGAUGAUCAGCCACACUGGGACUGAGAUACGGCCCAGACUCCUACGGGA
This 291-nucleotide ribosomal RNA is filed under the name uncultured bacterium. Its description in RNAcentral is "partial 16S ribosomal RNA". It matches the Rfam family "Bacterial small subunit ribosomal RNA", at positions 29 to 346 of the family's 1533-position model. The record is from RNAcentral.